UUUUGCAAAUGUACAAGAAGCUGAGAUCCCCAUAUGUUAUGCAGCAGCCCAGGGGUGAAAUUGAAGGUAGAUGUACUUUGCUGAAGUUCCUCUCAUGGGUACUGACAUCUUCAGACACUGGUGCUUCAUCUGCCAGGAGCCGUCGUUAAUGCUGUACUCACGUGAAUACAUGAAGAUUCAAGACCGAGGUCUGACAUGUAUGAGAAUUGCCUUAAAGGCUUACUCCAACCUUAAGGGGUAG
Pelobates cultripes (western spadefoot toad) is the source of this 241-nucleotide non-coding RNA. The record is from the annotation of a GenBank genome assembly. Lineage: Eukaryota; Metazoa; Chordata; Amphibia; Anura; Pelobatidae.